AUGAGCCAACUCCAUGUUCAUUUAAAAAAUAUAGGCUGCAUUGGUGGCUCAUUGCAUACAAUAUUAGAGCAGGCAGACUCUAUGUGUUAUGCAGUAUGGGGUGGCAAAAAAGUGAAGUUGCAUCCAGUAUACGAAGAUAUUUUCAGCAUGUGAGGCAAGAGCAAAGAUGGCCAGAAGUCAUUGCUCAAAUUUCCCAACCUAUAUAUGCCGACGUGAUACAACAAGCAAAUGGUUAUGACUGUGGCAUAUUCGUGACAGAAUUUGCGAGAAGAAUAACAGAGGGGGUAAAGUUGAGAAAAGAUAUCAUGAUUCUUAAUCACUUUGUUUACUCUGUUCAUAUAAAGAUAGUGUUGUUUUUGAUAGGGAGAAAUUGGUCCUGGAUACUGUCGAUAUCCAUGUAAAUAGUAAAAGACCAUACCUUAAAAAACUGAUUCGAAGCUUUGCCAUUUAGCGAAGCAAUUUGUAAUGAAGCAGAAUUUAAGUUUAAAGCUGGUGCGUAUAAAUAACAUUCUUAUAUUUAUAACAAGUGAUGUAAAUAAUUUUUUUACAAGUAACGACGUUACAUAUAAUUGUUACUUUUGCAGAAACUAUAUGGGUAACUAUGAAGUAAUAUUUUGUACAGAUAAAACUAUUCAUAAAAACAAGUUUAAAUUUUUCGAAAACGAAACUAUAACGCGUUACUAAUGAAUAACGCGACUAAGAGUGAGAAAAUAGUCUUUGUAGGCUAUUUCUCUCUCAGGAUUGUAUUUAACAAUGCGUAACAUAUUCCUGUGCCAAAUAUGGAGUUUUGUGAAAAGAAAAAAGUUAUCGUAUUCCAUGUAAGAAACCAUGGAGGCAAGAGGCUUAA
Molecule: long non-coding RNA, 847 nt
Organism: Xenia sp. Carnegie-2017
Lineage: Eukaryota; Metazoa; Cnidaria; Anthozoa; Malacalcyonacea; Xeniidae
Exons: 3
Source: RefSeq, a predicted model, not a curated record